CAUUCGAGUGGCGGACGGGUGAGUAACGCGUGGGUAACCUGCCUUACACUGGGGGAUAACACCUGGAAACAGGUGCUAAUACCGCAUAAGCGCACAGGGCCGCAUGGCCCGGUGUGAAAAACUCCGGUGGUGUAAGAUGGACCCGCGUCUGAUUAGCUUGUUGGCGGGGUAGGGGCCCACCAAGGCGACGAUCAGUAGCCGGCCUGAGAGGGUGGACGGCCACAUUGGGACUGAGACACGGCCCAAACUCCUACGGGAGGCAGCAG
RNAcentral lists this ribosomal RNA (266 nucleotides) under uncultured bacterium. RNAcentral's name for it is "partial 16S ribosomal RNA". It matches the Rfam family "Bacterial small subunit ribosomal RNA", at positions 88 to 354 of the family's 1533-position model. The record is from RNAcentral.